This 84-nucleotide small nucleolar RNA is filed under the name Hippocampus comes (tiger tail seahorse). RNAcentral's name for it is "Small nucleolar RNA SNORD35 (ENSHCOG00000007082.1)". It matches the Rfam family "Small nucleolar RNA SNORD35". Rfam says of the family: U35 is a C/D box snoRNA located in intron 6 of ribosomal protein L13A and intron 3 of ribosomal protein S11 in humans and at homologous positions in mouse and chicken ribosomal protein genes. U35 guides the methylation of 2'-O-ribose sites in 28S rRNA. The record is from RNAcentral. Lineage: Eukaryota; Metazoa; Chordata; Actinopteri; Syngnathiformes; Syngnathidae.
UUCAAAUGAUGUUAAUCUCACGAUGGUCUUCCGAGCCUGUGGUGCUCUGAGGACAAAACAGAACGACAAUUCUGAUGUAGUGUU